Molecule: unclassified non-coding RNA, 1621 nt
Filed under: Hevea brasiliensis (rubber tree)
Lineage: Eukaryota; Viridiplantae; Streptophyta; Magnoliopsida; Malpighiales; Euphorbiaceae
Source: RNAcentral
AUAUUUAAAUAUAAAAUUUAAAUCAAUGAACUAUUUUGUUAAUUAAAUAAAACAUUAGGAACCAUAUUUUAAUUUACUGUUACUUUCUUAAAUUUAAUUUAGUCCUUUUGACUACUAUUGUGACAACUACUUAAAUUUUGGCUAUAAGACACAAAAUAAUGUUUUGGCAACAAUCAAGAAAAGUCUUAAAAGUUUUAGAUCUUUUUGUCCAAUAAGCCUAACUAAUAUAUUGGUCUCAACAAUGAAAAUCUAAGUUGUAAAAGCAACUUUAAGAACAGAAAUUUCUAUACAAGUCCAUUUUUAGUAGAAGUAAUUUUAUAAUUCCAAACUUACGUCUCAGAAGCCGAAGCACUCCUGUAACCUUCCAAUUUGGUGAUAAAGACAGGCUGUCCUUGACGCUGCCCAGACAAAUUUCCCUCCCAGACUUUGACAUAUUUGGAUUGUGCUGAUUGCAAAGCACUUGUUGUCUGCUGUGGCAAUGGCAUAUUAGCUGCUGAGUUGUUAUUCACACCAAGAGACUGCAUCCCACUUUGUGCUUGUUGAGGCAUUCCUGGAGUUGGAAUCAUGGUGCUGCUUCCAGAAGAGACACCCGACGGACCAAGACCACUCAUCAUAUUCUGAUUCAUGCUAAUUCCACUUUGCACCAUUUGUGCUCCUGAAAGAUUUCCUUGGCUCAUGCCUGGUACCGAUGGACCAAUGCUAACAGCUCCUUGAAGGUUACCCAUGGGUUGUGAAAUUCCAAGAUUUGAGUUCCCAGAUAUGUUAGAAGUUGCAGAAGUGAAUGAACCAAGACCAGAGUUUGGUGCAAUUUGUGUUGUUCCUGAUCCUGUUAUUGAACUAAUACCAGGUUGUCCAGAUGAAAAAACAUUUUGAGCAGGAGGCACAGAAGAAGCCAUGCCACUGGAUAUCAUAUUUGACAUAUGCAUGGCAACAGGAGUCUGAUUCAUUGAUUGAAGGCCGAUCGUAGUUCCUCCAGUUAAAGCAGCAGAGUUCAUCACUUGGCGUGCUUGAGAGAGAUUAUUCAGUAUGCUAACAUUCGCUGCACCAGGAGGCACAGGACGUACAGACUGUGGCAUCCCACUGACACUCGGUUUUAAGUCUGACACAUUUUCACCACUUGAAAUCAUCUCUUGAGUAGUUGUAGGCGGUGAAGAUGUCUGCAAACUUGGAACUGCUUGAGAAGUGGGACGCGCAGAUGGAAUAUGUGAAAAAGCAGGUCCAGGUGCAAUGGAAGUUACAGUGGUUGGUUCAACUUUUACAGUUGCAGUGGGAACAUUUGCAACUGAAAUUGGUGGCCGGUUCAAGAUAGAUCCAUUCACUGAUGGUAUUGAAGGUGGAGCUGGCCCUGCAGCAGAAGUAACUGAAGCAACGUCCACUUUUACAGGACUCUGAUUAGAAGGUAGAUUUGCAACUCCAGGACGACUUAAAGAAGCACGCGCCUCCAUGAAGUUCUCAGAGAUUAGAACAAGAAAAUGAGGAUUUUUAACAUUGUCAACUAUUGGAUCUGCUGCUCGGAUGUUGCGUUUUCCCGAAUUGUAGAUUGCUCUAAUUUUUGGCAGCUGUUUUGGACAAAUGACAGACAGAGAAACAGAGCAUUGAGGAAAUGAUUUCGCAACUGUCU